UGGUGGAGUGAUUUGUCUGGUUAAUUCCGUUAACGAACGAGACCUCAGCCUACUAAAUAGUGAACGUUUUCUAACGAAAGCGUUGCACUUCUUAGAGGGACAUUUCGGUUUAACCGGAAGGAAGUUUGAGGCAAUAACA
This 139-nucleotide ribosomal RNA is filed under the name uncultured eukaryote. RNAcentral's name for it is "partial 18S ribosomal RNA". It matches the Rfam family "Eukaryotic small subunit ribosomal RNA", at positions 1299 to 1458 of the family's 1831-position model. The record is from RNAcentral.